UACGAAGGGGGCUAGCGUUGUUCGGAUUUACUGGGCGUAAAGCGCACGUAGGCGGAUCUUUAAGUCAGAGGUGAAAUCCCAAGGCUCAACCUUGGAACUGCCUUUGAUACUGGGGAUCUUGAGUCCGGGAGAGGUGAGUGGAACUGCGAGUGUAGAGGUGAAAUUCGUAGAUAUUCGCAAGAACACCAGUGGCGAAGGCGGCUCACUGGCCCGGUACUGACGCUGAGGUGACGAAAGGCGUGGGGAGCAAACAGG
This 255-nucleotide ribosomal RNA is filed under the name uncultured bacterium. Its description in RNAcentral is "partial 16S ribosomal RNA". It matches the Rfam family "Bacterial small subunit ribosomal RNA", at positions 524 to 776 of the family's 1533-position model. The record is from RNAcentral.